AAAUUGAAGAGUUUGAUCAUGGCUCAGAUUGAACGCUGGCGGCAGGCCUAACACAUGCAAGUCGAACGGUAACAGGAAUCAGCUUGCUGAUUUGCUGACGAGUGGCGGACGGGUGAGUAAUGUCUGGGAAACUGCCUGAUGGAGGGGGAUAACUACUGGAAACGGUAGCUAAUACCGCAUAACGUCGCGAGACCAAAGAGGGGGACCUUCGGGCCUCUUGCCAUCGGAUGUGCCCAGAUGGGAUUAGCUAGUAGGUGGGGUAAAGGCUCACCUAGGCGACGAUCCCUAGCUGGUCUGAGAGGAUGACCAGCCACACUGGAACUGAGACACGGUCCAGAC
RNAcentral lists this ribosomal RNA (339 nucleotides) under Escherichia coli. RNAcentral's name for it is "bacterial SSU rRNA". It matches the Rfam family "Bacterial small subunit ribosomal RNA", at positions 1 to 336 of the family's 1533-position model. The record is from RNAcentral. Lineage: Bacteria; Pseudomonadati; Pseudomonadota; Gammaproteobacteria; Enterobacterales; Enterobacteriaceae.